RNAcentral lists this ribosomal RNA (382 nucleotides) under Dermacentor marginatus. RNAcentral's name for it is "partial small subunit ribosomal RNA". Lineage: Eukaryota; Metazoa; Arthropoda; Arachnida; Ixodida; Ixodidae. The record is from RNAcentral.
AAACUAGGAUUAGAUACCCUAUUAUUUUAGGAGCUUAACAUUGUAAGUAAUGGCGGUAUCUUAAGCUUUUCAGAGGAAUUUGCUCUAUAAUGGAUAAAACACCUUAAUCUUACUUUAAUUGGUGUAAAAACAGUUUGUAUACCACUAUUAAAAUAAUAAUAUACAAUUAUUAUUAAAGUAUAUUAUUUAUGUAUUUAAAUAAAGUUAAGUCAAGGUGCAGCAAAAAUUAAAGUAUGAAGUGAAUUACACUGCUUUUUAGAUAAGAAAAUGAAAAUAAGUUUAGGAUUUGAAAGUAAAAUUAAAAUAGGAAGUUAAUUUGAAUUAAGCUCUAGGAUAUGUACAUAUCGCCCGUCACUCUUUAUUAAGAUAAGUCGUUACAUAG